RNAcentral lists this ribosomal RNA (582 nucleotides) under Triticum aestivum (bread wheat). RNAcentral's name for it is "partial small subunit ribosomal RNA". The record is from RNAcentral. Lineage: Eukaryota; Viridiplantae; Streptophyta; Magnoliopsida; Poales; Poaceae.
AUGGCGCGCAGCCUCAUGAAGGCCAUGGGCGUGCCGUGCGCGUUCUGGGGCGAGGCUGUGCACACCGCCGUCCACAUCCUCAACCAGUCGCCGACCAGAAGCCUGCAGGGCAUUACUCCUUAUGAAGCGUGGCGCAAGAAGAAACCGGCAGUGGACUACUUCCGCACCUUCGGAUGCGUCGCGCAUGUCAAGCUCGUCGGACCCGGGGUGACCAAGCUGGCGGACAGAUCGCACCCUGGCAUCUUCCUGGGGUACGAGCCAGGGACGAAGGGCUAUCGGGUGUACGACCCGGUCGGCAAGCGUCUAUACAUCACACGCGAUGUGCGCUUCGAGGAGGAGCGGCGCUGGGACUGGAGCAAGGACAACGGGGACUCGGCGCACGCCCGCGAGUGGUGGGGUCACCGCGAACACCUUCAACGCCAGCUACGCCAAGCACACCAGCCUUACCGCAAUCUCCAUGGACGCCCAUGGCCGGCGACUCGGGCAUGGGCGCGUCGAGCGCGUCGAGCACGCCCGCAUCGGCAAGUAUCAGUCCGUCUACGCCAACACCGAAAUUCUACGACCCGGAGGACGGGUGGGUGA